Long non-coding RNA from Cherax quadricarinatus, 1713 nucleotides. RefSeq lists it as uncharacterized. Lineage: Eukaryota; Metazoa; Arthropoda; Malacostraca; Decapoda; Parastacidae. The record is from RefSeq and is a predicted model, not a curated record.
CAUGCGAGUGUUGCACGGGAGCGUUGCUGGAGUGUUGUUCUUAAGCUAUUCAACAGUUUCUGUUUGUCAGGUAAUAUUUAUUAGGAAACGGCGAAGAACAGUAGUGAAUUCCAGAUUUUUGGGCCUUUUAUGUGCAUUGAGUUUUUGCAUAGUGUGAGAUGGACACGAGGAACAUCAAAGAGUGAUCUGUGCCUUGUGUUUUGAUCAUGUGUUCUGUUGAGACGAUGCAACAUCUCCCCAGUGAAAAGCAUAGGCGCCACUAGCACGAUGCCUCCCAGCAUAAUAAGGGGGAUUGCCAGUAGACCCCAGGCUGUCUUUAAGAAGGCACUGGACAGGCACCUAAAGUCAGUGCCUGACCACCUGGGCUGUGGUUUGUAUGUCGGAUUAUGUGCAGCCAACAGUAACAGCCUGGUUGAUUAGGUCCUGAUCCAACAUGAGGCCUUUUCCCAGACCAGGCUGUGGGGGUGUUGACCCCUGAAACCCUCUCCAGGUAUACUCCAGAUCAGGGAUGGUAACUGGGCUCAUCCUUUUAAUGUAGCCUGUGACAAACCAAGAGUCCUUGGGUAGAUACUAAGAUAAAAAUACAAGGAUCAUUGGAGAACUACAUGGAGAUAAUACAAUGAAAAAUUCCAUGGAUAUAACAAUACAAGAUCAUUGAAGACUUAAACAACUGCCCAAAUGUGAUGAAUUCCCACUUAUUGUGGUAUAAAUUGUAGAUACGAAGAUGAUAUGAGGGGGGAGCGUUAAGGAGCUGUGAUCUAUUCGGGUUGAGCACGUCUCCCUGAGUAUCAGAGAUGGUGACUGGGUUUAUCCUUUUAAUGUAGGCUGUGACAAACCAAGAGUCCUUGGGUAGAUACUGGGAUAAAAAUACAUGGAUCAGCAGAGAACUAUAUGGAGAUAAUACAAGGAUCACUGAAGGCCUAAGCAACUACCCAAUUGUGGAAGGUUCAAUGGACUGGUCCAAUAACUUCAGCAACUACUUUCCACACUGAAGGCAGCCAUGUGGAGGUCUGUAGCAGAUGUUGAUGAUAAGCAGAAACAGUCAUCCCUUUGGUCUGCUUGUCGAGGAUCUCUGCUUCGGUGAGGGAUGUAGAAGCAGUGAAAGGAGUUGACAGAGAAAGUUCCUUUAACACAAAACUGAUGUUCUUCAACUUCGCCAGAGAGUGAGAGAUGGCGGCCACCAUCAAGUAUUUCUUGAUGCAUGUGACAACUGUAAGCUUCCCAAGUGCCAUCUUUAAGUGUGAUGCCUACUUUAAUGUAGUAAUCAUUAAGGUGUUUGGUUGACUCCAAGUUUAGGAUCAGGAUUCAUGGAUAUCUUUUAGGAGUGGUGAGUGCAAAGACUUUGUCAGAACCCCAUGCAUUUUGAGAAGCUCCUCUUGAUCAUUUUUUACUACUAAGUGUAUCCUAUGGACCAAUAAACCUUACCUCCAUAGUGGGAAAAUUUAUGGAAUCUAUAAUUGCCAAAGCAAUUUGUAGCCAUCUCGAAAGGCAUAAAUUGAUUAAUGAAUCUCAGCACGGUUUUACAAGGGGGCAUUCCUGUCUUACGAAUUUAUUAACUUUCUUCACUAAGGUAUUUGAGGAGGUCUAUCAUGGUAUUGAAUAUGAUAUUGUGUAUAUGGACUUCAGUAAGGCUUUCGAUAGAGUUUCACAUCAGAAGCUAUUGGGGGAAACUUAAGGCACACGGAAUAGGAGAAAUUUUUUACUGGGUUGAGG